RNAcentral lists this transfer RNA (78 nucleotides) under Bacteroidetes bacterium GWE2_39_28. Its description in RNAcentral is "tRNA-Val". It matches the Rfam family "tRNA". Rfam says of the family: Transfer RNA (tRNA) molecules are approximately 80 nucleotides in length. Their secondary structure includes four short double-helical elements and three loops (D, anti-codon, and T loops). The record is from RNAcentral. RNAcentral also lists the same sequence under 7 other names. Lineage: Bacteria; Pseudomonadati; Bacteroidota.
GGGAGCAUAGCUCAGUUGGUUUAGAGCAUCUGCCUUACAAGCAGAGGGUCGGGGGUUCGACUCCCUCUGCUCCCACAA